AAAUAAGAAGCAAAAAUUGCAUUUAGUUUCGACCUAAAAAUAUGAUUAACAAUUAAUCCUUAUUUU
RNAcentral lists this transfer RNA (66 nucleotides) under Gonocephalum kochi. RNAcentral's name for it is "tRNA-Arg". The record is from RNAcentral. Lineage: Eukaryota; Metazoa; Arthropoda; Insecta; Coleoptera; Tenebrionidae.